RNAcentral lists this long non-coding RNA (711 nucleotides) under Hordeum vulgare. RNAcentral describes it as "long non-coding RNA (HVUL_LNC001691)". The record is from RNAcentral. Lineage: Eukaryota; Viridiplantae; Streptophyta; Magnoliopsida; Poales; Poaceae.
AUCCCUCAAGGGGUAUAUAUAUACAGUUACAGAGAGGUGAGGGAAUCGUGGGGGAGAGCCACAACGGACGUGAGCCGGGCAUGCAGCGCAUGCGGUCGUGGAGGAGAAGGACUCGGGCAGGCCGUUAGCCACGCCGUGGGGAUCCUGAUGACGUGUUCCAACAUUAUUGACCUUAUAUUUCAAACAUAUUUGAGAAGUGUCGAUAGAAACAAAAUAAAGUGUUUAGUUAUUUUUGAUCAGACAAUAACGGAACAGACUUUUUAAGUGUAUAGGAAACCCGUUUGUAGAUGCUCUUAGUCAUUCUAUGCCGGUGUUAAUUUUUACUUCCCGACUAAAUCGCAGAUUAUUUGCACCAGUACACAACCUACCAAAAGUUAAUCAUAUUUUGAUUGAGAUUAUUCAAGAGCAUCUUCUACUAUCUUUCCUACUAAUAAAACAAAUGAAAAAGGGUGAGAUGAUGUUAACAGGACGGCAUGAAUCGAAGAAUCAUAGUGGUGAACACCAAAUUAUAGAAAAACAUUCGAUUUAGCUAAAUCACAUCUAAAUGCGUUCUAAGUAUAAUAAACUUGAAUUCUAUGACUUUAAUUUUACGUGAAGAUUAAUGUAGUGUUUAUUUUUUAUUUUUUAUGUUUAAAUUAAACCAUUUAGAUAUGCAAUAAUAAUGACACAUUUAGAUGCACCCUAAACAGACACAAACAAUAUGUCUUUUUU